Molecule: ribosomal RNA, 492 nt
Filed under: uncultured bacterium
Lineage: Bacteria
Description: partial 16S ribosomal RNA
Rfam family: Bacterial small subunit ribosomal RNA
Source: RNAcentral
GGUGAACGCUGGCGGUAGGCCUAACACAUGCAAGUCGAACGGCAGCACAGUAAGAGCUUGCUCUUACGGGUGGCGAGUGGCGGACGGGUGAGGAAUACAUCGGAAUCUACUUUUUCGUGGGGGAUAACGUAGGGAAACUUACGCUAAUACCGCAUACGACCUACGGGUGAAAGCAGGGGAUCUUCGGACCUUGCGCGAUUCAAUGAGCCGAUGUCGGAUUAGCUAGUUGGCGGGGUAAAGGCCCACCAAGGCGACGAUCCGUAGCUGGUCUGAGAGGAUGAUCAGCCACACUGGAACUGAGACACGGUCCAGACUCCUACGGGAGGCAGCAGUGGGGAAUAUUGGACAAUGGGCGCAAGCCUGAUCCAGCCAUACCGCGUGGGUGAAGAAGGCCUUCGGGUUGUAAAGCCCUUUUGUUGGGAAAGAAAAGCAGCAGGUUAAUACCCCGCUGUUCUGACGGUACCCAAAGAAUAAGCACCGGCUAACUUCGUG